GACGAACGCUGGCGGCGUGCUUAACACAUGCAAGUCGAACGGAAAGGCUCCAGCUUGCUGGAGUACUCGAGUGGCGAACGGGUGAGUAACACGUGGGUAAUCUGCCCUGCACUCUGGGAUAAGCCUGGGAAACUGGGUCUAAUACUGGAUAUGACCUUUCUCCUUAUGGGGUUUGGUGGAAAGUUUUUCGGUGUAGGAUGAGCCCGCGGCCUAUCAGCUUGUUGGUGGGGUGAUGGCCUACCAAGGCGACGACGGGUAGCCGGCCUGAGAGGGUGAUCGGCCACAUUGGGACUGAGAUACGGCCCAG
Molecule: ribosomal RNA, 307 nt
Filed under: uncultured bacterium
Lineage: Bacteria
Also listed under: 1 other name
Description: bacterial SSU rRNA
Rfam family: Bacterial small subunit ribosomal RNA
Source: RNAcentral